Molecule: ribosomal RNA, 216 nt
Filed under: Bacilli bacterium
Lineage: Bacteria; Bacillati; Bacillota; Bacilli
Description: partial 16S ribosomal RNA
Rfam family: Bacterial small subunit ribosomal RNA
Source: RNAcentral
GCCGGAAUCGCUAGUAAUCGCGGAUCAGCAUGCCGCGGUGAAUACGUUCCCGGGUCUUGUACACACCGCCCGUCACACCACGAGAGUUGGUAACACCCGAAGUCGGUGAGGUAACCUUUUGGAGCCAGCCGCCGAAGGUGGGACCAAUGAUUGGGGUGAAGUCGUAACAAGGUAGCCGUAUCGGAAGGUGCGGCUGGAUCACCUCCUUUCUAAGGA